Molecule: ribosomal RNA, 323 nt
Filed under: uncultured Acidobacteriota bacterium
Lineage: Bacteria; Pseudomonadati; Acidobacteriota
Description: bacterial SSU rRNA
Rfam family: Bacterial small subunit ribosomal RNA
Source: RNAcentral
GAUCCUGGCUCAGAAUCAACGCUGGCGGCGUGCCUAACACAUGCAAGUCGAACGAGAAAGUGGUAGCAAUACCAUGAGUAAAGUGGCGCACGGGUGAGUAACACGUGACUAACCUACCCUGGAGUGGGGGAUAACUGAGGGAAACCUUAGCUAAUACCGCAUAAUACCCACGGGUCAAAGGAGCAAUUCGCUCUAGGAGGGGGUCGCGGCCGAUUAGUUAGUUGGCGGGGUAACGGCCCACCAAGACUGUGAUCGGUAUCCGGCCUGAGAGGGCGCACGGACACACUGGAACUGAAACACGGUCCAGACUCCUACGGGAGGCA